GGGGAUUUAGCUCAGCGGCAUAAGCACUUGCCUUACCAGCAAGUAGUUGUGAGUUUAAUCCCCG
Molecule: transfer RNA, 64 nt
Filed under: Cavia porcellus (domestic guinea pig)
Lineage: Eukaryota; Metazoa; Chordata; Mammalia; Rodentia; Caviidae
Rfam family: tRNA
About the family: Transfer RNA (tRNA) molecules are approximately 80 nucleotides in length.
Source: Rfam by way of RNAcentral